GACAAACGCUGGCGGCGUACCUAAGACAUGCAAGUCGAACGGACGCUGGUACCUUCGGGUACAAGUGUGAGUGGCGGAUGGGUGAGUAACGCGUAGGAACCUGUCAUCAAGUGGGGGAUACCGCUGGGAAACUGGCGCUAAUACCGCAUGUGGUCAGCGAUGAAGAAAGCAGCAAUGCGCUUGAUGAGGGGCCUGCGUCCGAUUAGCUUGUUGGUGGGGUAAAAGCCUACCAAGGCGACGAUCGGUAGCUGGUCUGAGAGGAUGGUCAGCCACACUG
Molecule: ribosomal RNA, 277 nt
Filed under: uncultured bacterium
Lineage: Bacteria
Description: partial 16S ribosomal RNA
Rfam family: Bacterial small subunit ribosomal RNA
Source: RNAcentral